AUCCUGGCUCAGGAUGAACGCUAGCGGCAGGCCUAACACAUGCAAGUCGAACGGUAACAGGAAAGAGCUUGCUCUUUUGCUGACGAGUGGCGCACGGGUGCGUAACGCGUAUACAAUCUACCUUUUACAGGGGGAUAGCCUUUAGAAAUGAAGAAUAAUACCCCAUAGUAAGUAAAUUUCGCAUGGAAAUUACUUUAAAGAUUUAUCGGUAAAAGAUGAGUAUGCGUUCUAUUAGCUAGAUGGUAAGGUAACGGCUUACCAUGGCAACGAUAGAUAGGGGCCCUGAGAGGGGGAUCCCCCACACUGGUACUGAGACACGGACCAGACUCCUACGGGAGGCAGCAGUAGGGAAUAUUGGGCAAUGGACGAGAGUCUGACCCAGCCAUGCCGCGUGCAGGAAGACGGCGUUCUGCGUUGUAAACUGCUUUUAUCUGGGAAGAAAAUGCCCAUGCGUGGGAAAUUGCCGGUACCAGAUGAAUAAGCACCGGCUAACUCCGUGCCAGCAGCCGCGGUAAUACGGAGGAUCCAAGCGUUAUCCGGAAUCAUUGGGUUUAAAGGGUCCGUAGGUGGAUAAUUAAGUCAGAGGUGAAAUCCUGCAGCUCAACUGUAGAAUUGCCUUUGAUACUGGUUGUCUUGAGUUAUUAUGAAGUAGUUAGAAUAUGUAGUGUAGCGGUGAAAUGCAUAGAUAUUACAUAGAAUACCAAUUGCGAAGGCAGAUUACUAAUAAUCAACUGACACUGAUGGACGAAAGCGUGGGGAGCGAACAGGAUUAGAUACCCUGGUAGUCCACGCCGUAAACGAUGAGAGCUAGUUGUCUGCAGGCAUGCCUGUAGGUGACGCAGCUAACGCAUUAAGCUCUCCGCCUGGGGAGUACGGCCGCAAGGUUAAAACUCAAAGAAAUUGACGGGGGCCCGCACAAGCGGUGGAGCAUG
Molecule: ribosomal RNA, 932 nt
Filed under: Heterosigma akashiwo
Lineage: Eukaryota; Raphidophyceae; Chattonellales; Chattonellaceae
Description: partial Bacterial small subunit ribosomal RNA
Rfam family: Bacterial small subunit ribosomal RNA
Source: RNAcentral